Molecule: non-coding RNA, 47 nt
Organism: Nelumbo nucifera (sacred lotus)
Lineage: Eukaryota; Viridiplantae; Streptophyta; Magnoliopsida; Proteales; Nelumbonaceae
Source: Rfam
CAGAAGGUGCCAUUAGGCACCACGUAAGCCAAACAAUAAAAGGGUGU